This 292-nucleotide ribosomal RNA is filed under the name uncultured Planctomycetota bacterium. RNAcentral's name for it is "uncultured planctomycete partial 16S ribosomal RNA". Lineage: Bacteria; Pseudomonadati; Planctomycetota. The record is from RNAcentral.
GGACUACCAGGGUUUCUAAUCCCGUUUGCUCCCCUAGCUUUCGCGCCUCAGCGUCAGUAGAGAUCCAGCAGCGCGCUUUCGCCACCGGAGUUCCUUCCAAUAUCAACGCAUUUCACCGCUCCACUGGAAGUUCCCGCUGCCCCUACCUCCCUCUAGACAAGCAGUAUCCAAGGCACUUUUCCGGUUAAGCCGAAAGAUUUCACCCCGGACUUGCUCGCCCGCCUACGCGCCCUUUAAGCCCAGUGAUUCCGAACAACGUUCGCACGGUUCGUCUUACCGCGGCUGCUGGCAC